AUUGAACGCUGGCGGCAUGCUUUACACAUGCAAGUCGAACGGUAACAGGCCUUCGGGUGCUGACGAGUGGCGAACGGGUGAGUAAUGCAUCGGAACGUACCCAGAGGUGGGGGAUAACGCAGCGAAAGCUGUGCUAAUACCGCAUGUGAUCUGAGGAUGAAAGCGGGGGACCGAGCAGCAAUGUUUGGCCUCGCGCCUUUGGAGCGGCCGAUGUCGGAUUAGCUAGUUGGUGGGGUAAAGGCCUACCAAGGCGACGAUCCGUAGCUGGUCUGAGAGGACGACCAGCCACACUGGGACUGAGACACGGCCCAGACUCCUACGGGAGGCAGCAGUGGGGAAUUUUGGGCAAUGGGCGAAAGCCUGAUCCAGCAAUGCCGCGUGCGGGAAGAAGGCCUUCGGGUUGUAAACCGCUUUUGGCAGGAACGAAACGGUGUCCGCUAAUACCGGGCGCUAAUGACGGUACCUGCAGAAUAAGCACCGGCUAACUACGUG
RNAcentral lists this ribosomal RNA (492 nucleotides) under uncultured bacterium. RNAcentral describes it as "partial 16S ribosomal RNA". It matches the Rfam family "Bacterial small subunit ribosomal RNA", at positions 29 to 507 of the family's 1533-position model. The record is from RNAcentral.